Oncorhynchus masou masou (cherry salmon) is the source of this 309-nucleotide long non-coding RNA. RefSeq lists it as uncharacterized. The record is from RefSeq and is a predicted model, not a curated record. Lineage: Eukaryota; Metazoa; Chordata; Actinopteri; Salmoniformes; Salmonidae. The transcript is spliced from 3 exons.
ACUGGAGAUUCCUUCAAAACGAUUGCCUACAGUUAACGUGUAGAGCACUGCAAGGUUGGGUGUCCAGGCCCAUCUGGGACUGCCUCCUGGAGGAAUUCAGGAGUUUGAAGGCUACCUGUGUCCUGCAUAACGUUAUGAGGAUGAACACGAGGGCCAGAGGAGGAGUCUGCUGCUCUGCAGGAUGUUUCAAGGAUGGGGUCCAACAACACACAUGAAGUACUCUGCAGCCUUAGUGUGUCGUGGACACCAGGUUAUAUCAGCUGUGUCGGUGAACCCCUCCCUCAUCUGAACUGGCUACAUAGAGGGCAC